This 496-nucleotide non-coding RNA is filed under the name Pongo abelii (Sumatran orangutan). Lineage: Eukaryota; Metazoa; Chordata; Mammalia; Primates; Hominidae. The record is from RNAcentral.
CCUGUUCCCGGGAAUGGCAGGGGCGCCCGCGCGAGGAGGGUCGCCGGGAGAGCCGCCUCUCCUCCGAGCUGGAGCAGCCGUGACCCAGAUUACGACCGCGGCGGCCUCGCCCUGCCUAACCCCCCCUCUUCUUCCUCCAGGGGCACCCUUUGGAGAAGAACCCCAGCCUGGGGUGGGGACGCACCGGCUCUCCGGCAGCUCAAACACAGACAGAUCUUCUAGAGCAGGGGAAAUUUCUUUUCGCAGAAGCCAUUACUCCCCCCGAGAGAAGGCUGCAAAGCUGGGAAGCCUGGGGUGUGCUCCUCCCGCCCUUUUGGACCCCCGGGCUUGCACCGGCUGCACUCUGAGAACCAGCUGCGCGCCGAGCGGUGCAAUGCAGCACCCACCCUGUGGGCCUGGCAAUUGCUUGUCAUUAAAAGAAAAAAAAAAUUACGGAGGGCUCCGGGAGUGUGUGUUGGGGAGGGGAGACCGAUGCUUCUAACCCAGCCCCCGCUUU